RNAcentral lists this ribosomal RNA (253 nucleotides) under uncultured microorganism. RNAcentral's name for it is "partial 16S ribosomal RNA". It matches the Rfam family "Bacterial small subunit ribosomal RNA", at positions 524 to 776 of the family's 1533-position model. The record is from RNAcentral.
UACGUAGGGUGCGAGCGUUAAUCGGAUUUACUGGGCGUAAAGCGUGCGCAGGCGGCCCGUUAAGACAGGUGUGAAAUCCCUGGGCUCAACCUAGGAAUUGCGCUUGUGACUGGCGGGCUCGAGUACGGUAGAGGGGGGUGGAAUUCCUGGUGUAGCAGUGAAAUGCGUAGAGAUCAGGAGGAACACCGAUGGCGACGGCAGCCCCCUGGGCCUGUACUGACGCUCAUGCACGAGAGCGUGGGGAGCAAACAGG